Long non-coding RNA from Carassius auratus (goldfish), 797 nucleotides. RefSeq lists it as uncharacterized. The transcript is spliced from 3 exons. The record is from RefSeq and is a predicted model, not a curated record. NCBI's taxonomy places the organism in Eukaryota, Metazoa, Chordata, Actinopteri, Cypriniformes, Cyprinidae.
AGACAAGGUCGAAGUAUUCAUAGGACAGUAGGAGGUACCCAGACAGCACAUGUACGUCUGGCCGACGUCGGCCCAAUAUCGAAACGUCGGCCUCUAUACCUAAAACAUCUAUAAAACAUCGGCCUGGUGGAGGCCGAUAUAAUUUGGUCAGUGCUCUGUUCUCCAGCUCAUCAGUCGUCGGCCCUGAGUUGGUUCACGACCGCGGGCCGAUGCCGCGCUUCUCUGUGUGCGCGUGCCCAGUAUUCGUCUCUUUUAGCCACCCAGAGAGAGAGAAGAGGAUAAUCCCAGGGACAUCUGUGGCUCUGAGGCUUACAGAAAUAAUCCGGUGAAAUAAUAUGGUGAGCUAUUGUUGCUGUUGCUUCUGAACUACAAAAUGAUUUUUAAAUUUAUUAUUGAAUGAGACUGUACAUUAUAAAUGUAAUGCUUUAACUCUAGAUGUUUGUGUAAAUGCUGUGUGUGCGUUGAGUCCUGUGCGAGCGGGGAGCAGAGUUGCCAUGGAAACGGGGCAUCAACACAAAAACCGUUACUGGCAAGCAAUAAUCUCCGUCUCUCACUGCGUUUUACACUGUUUUAGAAAUGGUUUAGUGUCUUCGAAAAAGUCCGUUAGCAUCUUAGCAGUUUUCAGGUAGGCUAACUAUAUAGAUUGAGCUCUUGUUGAUGACACUCUGGGCUUUUAAUAAAAUCUUCGUGUGUGUAUGAGAUAUUUUGAUGGCACUUUGAAUGUUUUGCUGGUGAUUUGUCCGUAUGUUAUUGGAAAAGGCUGAUUUACUGAAUCGAUGACGUCACUUACAGUGAGA